GCCCUGGGCCAAAGGCAGGCGCCAAACCGCUGCGCCACCCAGGGAUCCCAGGAAGUUUGAAUAAGUGUCAGAAAAGGUCUCUCACACUGUGCAAAAGGAAUUCACUUUGCUAUUUUCAUUGUGAAGAAGGGGCAGAAAACUGAGAACCCUGGGUGCCUGUUUGGGGCCUGGCGCUAGUUCGGCGCUUUGCAUUUGAUAAUUUGAUACCAUCUCUUAAGAGCCUUCUGAGGAAAGUAGUAGAGCCUGUUCUAUAGGUCUUCAGGUCUCCCUGUUCCCUGAGACACAACGAUAUUGAAAUUAGGCCAAGCAGUUAAUAACCCUACAAUGGCCUUCUAAGUGCUCAAGUGAAAGGAAGAGUUGCAUGUCUCUCACUUUCAAUCGAAAGCUAGAAAUGACGAAGCCUAGUGAGGAAGGCACGUGGAAAGCUGAGACGGGUCAAAGGUAGGCCUCUUGCGCCAAACAGUUAUCCCAGUUGUGAGUUGCAAAAGAUAAGUCCUUGGGGAAAUGAAAAGGGCCACUCCAGUGAACACACCAAUGACAAGAAGGCAAAAGAGCCUCACUGCUGAUGUGGAGAAAGUUUUCGUGGCCUGGAGAGAAGAUCAUUCCCUUAAGCCAAAGCCUAAUCCAGAGCAAGGCCCUGACUCUCUUUAAUUCUGGGAAGGCUGAGGGAGGAGGAGCAGCUGCAGGAGCAAAGUCGGAGGCUGGCAGAGGUUGGUCCGAGAGGUUUAAGGAAAGAAGCCAGUCGUCUCCAUAACAUACAGGUGUAAGGUGAAGCAGCAGGUGCUGAUGGAGAAGCUGCAGCAAGGUGUCCAGAUCUAGUAAGAGAACUAGUGACCGUGGCUACACUAAACAACAGAUCUCCCCUGUAGACGAAGCAGCCUUAUGUUGGAGGAAGAGGUCAUCUAGGGCUUCCACAGCUAGAGAGAGGUCAGUGCCCGGCUUCAGGGCUUCAAAGGACAGGCCGCCUCUCUUGCUUGAUGCAGCUGGUGACUUUAAAUUGAAGCCAGUGCUCAUCGAGCAUUCUGGAAAUCUGGGGGCCCUUCAGAAUUAUGGGAAACCUACUCGGCCUGUGCUCUAUAAGGCUGAUAGCACAUCUGUGCCCAGCACGGUUUACUGAAUAUCUUAAGCCCACCGUUGAGACCUACUGCUCACAAGAAAAGACUCCUUUCAAAUGACGGCUCACUGACAAUGUUCCGGGGCACCCAGGAGCUGUGACGGAGAGACCACGAAAUUCAUGUUGUUCUCCUGCCUGCUGACCCAACAUCUGUCCUGCAGCCCACGGGUUAAGGAGUAAUUUUGACUUUCGAGUCUCAUUAUUUAAGAAAUACAUGCGAUGAGGCCAUGGCUGUCACAGUGGUUCCUCUGAUGGGUCUGGGCAAAGUAAGCUGAAAACCUGGAAAGGAUCCACCCUCCGAGAUACCAGUAAAGACAUGUGUGAUUAAUGAGAAGAGGUCAGAACGUCAACAUCAAGAAGAGUUUGGAAGAAGUCGAUGCUGGCCCUCAUGGGUGACGUGGGGAAGUCACUGCCGACGGGCUGGAAACGGCAGGGGAACCGGGGUUCCAAGCGGAGCCUGAAGAUGGGGCCGAGUCGCUGCAAUCUCUGGAGGAAACUUGAAUAGAUAAGGACUUGCUGCCUUUUUUUUUUUUAAGAUUUUAUUUAUUUCUUUAAGAAAGAGUGCACAAGAGAGCACAAAGCAGGGGGGAGGGAGAAGCAGACCCCUUGCUGAGCAGAGAUUUCCUCCCCCACAAUGCAGGGCUUGAUCCCAAGACCCCAGGAUCAUAACCUGAGCUGAAGGCAGCCCCUUUCCCGACUGAGCCACCCAGGCACCCCUCGAGGAGUUGCCUCUUAUGGAUGAACAAAGGAAGUGUUUUUCCUGAGAUGGAAUCUAGUCCUGGUGAUGAUGCUGUGAAGAUUGUUGAAGAGACAACAAAAGAUUUGGAAGAUACACACACUUAGUUGAAAAAGCAGCAGGAAGUUCUACUGUGGGUGAAAUGCUAUCAACCAGCAUCACAUGCUAUAGAGAAAUCAUCCAUGAAGGGAAGGGUCUACUGAUACACCAAACUAACGUCAUUGUCGUCUUAGUUUAGGAAGCCACCACAGACGCCCUGGCUUUCAGCCGCCGCCACCCUGAUCCAUCAGCAGUUGUGACACAGAGGCAGGAACCUCCUCCAGCGAUAGGACUACAGCUCACUGAGAGCUCAGAUGAUAGCAUUUUUUUUUAGCAAUAAAACAUUUUAAAGUAUGUAUAUUUUUCAUCAUACUAUUUCACACCUGACAACCAUGUAAUGUAAAUGUAACUUACGUAUGUGCCGAGAAACCAGUAAGUUCAGUUAACCCACUUUACUGCAAUAUUUACUUUAUUGUGGUGUUCUGGGACCGAACCCCCAAUAUCUCUGACAUCUGUAUGCAUUUCUUUCUGAGACAAAUGAGACAGCCUCCCCACAUUAGACUCUUGCCCUCCUACAGUUGGAUUUCCAGAAAGGGAGAGACAUCAUUUAAGAACGGAACUUGGCCUACUGCCCUCCCCUACUUUAAGUCUUUCAAUUGCCUCCCAUUUGCUUAAAAUAAAAUCCAAACUCCCUGCCAUGCUUGCAAGGCCCUCCAUUACCUCCCCUACCCCUAGUACGCUCUAUUCUGCUUUCUCUGUAAAUUUGCGUUUUCUAAAAAAAAAAAAAAAAAAAAAAUUGCGUUUUCUAUACAUCCCAAG
This is a long non-coding RNA of Canis lupus familiaris (dog), 2708 nucleotides long. RefSeq lists it as uncharacterized. NCBI's taxonomy places the organism in Eukaryota, Metazoa, Chordata, Mammalia, Carnivora, Canidae. The transcript has 2 exons. The record is from RefSeq and is a predicted model, not a curated record.